Long non-coding RNA from Pantherophis guttatus, 1081 nucleotides. RefSeq lists it as uncharacterized. NCBI's taxonomy places the organism in Eukaryota, Metazoa, Chordata, Lepidosauria, Squamata, Colubridae. The record is from RefSeq and is a predicted model, not a curated record.
GUGUUUCCAUGACAAUUAAGGCAAGCGCCUACGUGCAAAACAAACAAACAAACAAACACAACAGAAAUGAUUCAGCGGUUUGGAGGGGAAGCGACGUUUCGUGGGAAGACGCUCGAGUUGACUCUCUCGAGCAUCUCUCAAAUCAUCUCUCAACUAUUAUUUCAGAACAACAGAGUUGGAAGGGACCUUGGAAGUCUUCUAAUCCAGGGGUCGGCAACCUGCGGCUCCGGAGCCACAUGCGGCUCUUUGGGCCCUCUGCUGUGGCUCCCUGUCAGGUGAUCCCACCACUGACUGGCUCCGCUCGUCGCCCUCCCCUCCCAAUCUCUCCUCACCUGGCCUGAAAAGGGCGACCUUGGUCCACUGGGGAUUCCUGGAGAGGAAGGAUUGCUUUGCCAACGGGAACAGCAUAUCCCUGACGCCAACGUUCAAAAUCACCGUGACCUAUUUUCAUGAGGUCUAGAAACCUGCGUUAUCUCCAUCAGGCCAGAGAUCCAUUUUGUAAUGGUUUUACAGAUUGGAAGUGUUUGCGUUGUGUUCUACAUCGUGGCGCGUCUUUGUUUUAUCCUGUUUUGAAGUUUCUAAUGUUAAUAUUAGCUGGCCAGAAUCUCUUGUUCCCGAGCUGAGGAGCCACAUCCAUCACAUCAGUCAAUGAGUAAACAAGCAAGAUCUUGGAAGCCGAGCAGGUUGCUGGGGAACGGAGAAAUCCGUUGCGCUUCUGUCUUGUUGGUGUGUCUCCCGAGAGAUAUCUAUUUUAACGGCGAAUAAAAACGCAGAGUAGAUGCUGAGGGCCUUAGCCUGGUCUAUCACGAGUGCUCCGAGAUUCUCUUUUUUCUGCCGACUAUUAAAUCAGCCGAGAAAAGAUCUUCUUGUUUGCAACUGGAAUUUCCCUCAAAAGGUCCUCGACGAAACAAGGGGAACUUACAUAUGGAAAUAUUGAAUAAUUUCAACAAUCGAAGAUUAUAACUUAACAUAAAUAUGUGUAUUAUUAGUAGAACCAGGGGGGGAGCUGCAAAGGAUUCGCAGGGUUCGGGAGAACCUCUAAUUAAGAUUCUGUGCAGUUCGGAGAACCCCAAAAUCCCAC